Molecule: long non-coding RNA, 489 nt
Organism: Conger conger (European conger)
Lineage: Eukaryota; Metazoa; Chordata; Actinopteri; Anguilliformes; Congridae
Exons: 3
Source: RefSeq, a predicted model, not a curated record
CAGCGACGUAGGACGUUUGAUCAAUUUCUCGGUCGACGCGAUUUUUGGAGUAAAUACCAUUUGUGUUUGCACCUUGACUGAGACAAAACUUUGACUCGAUGCACCGUUUGUAAGCGUAAAAUGGACGCGAAACGACGUCAAAUGUUGGUCCCUGGUCCACAUACAUCCUGAGAGCCACACACAGGGCCCAUUCACCGCCACCACCUCAGUGUGACGCACAGCCCACCUGGGAGCCGCGCGGCAGCCAUUUUGUGCCGGGAAGCUCACCGCACACAUCGGCGAGAUGGAGGGCUGCUUGUACGUGUCGGGGUCCAGCUCCUGGGACACGUCCUUCAUCCAGAGCAGGGCGCCUCGGUACUCCGUGCGCGACUUCUCCAUGCGCCCCACCGUCAGCAGCGUGUCUGUGAUGGCCCGCCGCCGAAACGUCUCCACCUCCUGCUCCAGCCGCUGCAGCGGGGCGCAGAGAGCCAGCCUGGGGGGACGCAUGUA